This 789-nucleotide long non-coding RNA is filed under the name Salvator merianae (Argentine black and white tegu). RNAcentral's name for it is "lncRNA (ENSSMRG00000000969.1)". Lineage: Eukaryota; Metazoa; Chordata; Lepidosauria; Squamata; Teiidae. The record is from RNAcentral.
GCUUCCGGAGAUUGGCGGACCACAGUCCGGAGCUCAUAGCGCCCCUUGAUGGCUUUUCGGGAAGGGAAUCUCACAGAAAAGUCAUUCAAGGCUUUGGGGAAGAGGUAAAUCCAGGACAUGUCGUCGUGAGCCUAAUCAGAAUGAGCUUUAACAGAUGAAAGACAUGAUGUGACAGGACCAUCUAUCAACUCGUAAACUUCUUCAUACCUUGGAAAUAGCUUGAUAAAACCAGGAGCUAGGGGAUCACAGAGUCCCAUCCAAAACAGAGAGCAAGACAGAAAAGAUACACAUUUGCAGAAAAUGUGCAUGUUCAACUUGAUGUGUAGAUGUGGAGGUAACUUCUAUAAUUGAAGCAGAGAUGAGGUCAACCUUAUCAUGAUCCAACAUUUGUUCAGCUGCAAACAAUUUGAAGCCUCUCNUUUCUUCUCUGUUGGAGCAGCUAACAUGCAAAUCUCCAGAUCUUACUGAACAAUAGCAAGAGCUGCAAAGGUGUGGAGACCUAGAGGGGAGUGCUUCUGGGCCAGAGCACGUGCUUCAUCCCAGGAACAAGGUGGGGGGGCAGGCUGUGUGGGUCUGUGCAAACUUCAAAGGCCAGGAAAUGAAAGUUCCCUGGCAUUGUAGUUUCUUUCUGGGCCCAUGAUAUGAAGCACCCUAAAUAGCCCUGGAAAAUGUGCCAUUUUCAGUACUUUGCAUUAUGGAGCCAGGCAGCUAGCAAGGUCCAGUGGUUGCCUGUUGGCUUCUAGAGUUUACCAUUAUGCAGUGACUUUUUGUAAUGUAGUUCUUAUGCAC